This 35-nucleotide non-coding RNA is filed under the name unclassified sequences. RNAcentral's name for it is "DUF805b RNA". It matches the Rfam family "DUF805b RNA". Rfam says of the family: Bacteroidetes, Chlorobi (1 example), Proteobacteria. Lineage (Flavobacteria) The record is from RNAcentral.
AAGGCGUCCCCGAAAAGCCUGUAACAGAGUAGGGA